Molecule: ribosomal RNA, 472 nt
Filed under: uncultured bacterium
Lineage: Bacteria
Description: SSU rRNA
Rfam family: Bacterial small subunit ribosomal RNA
Source: RNAcentral
AGGACGAACGCUGGCGGCGUGCUUAACACAUGCAAGUCGAGCGGAAAGGCCCUUCGGGGUACUCGAGCGGCGAACGGGUGAGUAACACGUGAGUAACCUGCCCCUAGCUCUGGGAUAGCUCCGGGAAACCGGGAUUAAUACCAGAUACGACCACUUUAGACAUCUGUCGUGGUGGAAAGGAUUCCGGCUAGGGAUGGGCUCGCGGCCUAUCAGCUUGUUGGUGGGGUAACGCCUACCAAGGCGACGACGGUAGCCGGCCUGAGAGGGCGACCGGCCACACUGGGACUGAGACACGGCCCAGACUCCUACGGGAGGCAGCAGUGGGAAUAUUGCGCAAUGGGCGAAAGCCUGACGCAGCGACGCCGCGUGGGGGAUGGAAGGCCUUCGGGUUGUAAACCCCUUUCAGCAGGGACGAAGCGAAAGUGACGGUACCUGCAGAAGAAGCGCCGGCUAACUACGCGCCAGCAGCCGC